UUGGGCUGUCAAAGGACUGGGCUGAAGCUGCUGGGCUGCUGAUCACUGGGCCUGACGCUGGACUGGGCUGGCCUGCUUCUUGUUGGGCUGCGCUGGGCUUGGUUUGGGCCUGCUUUGUUCUUUUUUGCUAUCCUGUUUUUUUUUGCUGUUUUUUUUUUUGGGCGUUUUGUUUUUUUUUUGGGGCUGCUGGGUGUUGGAUCGGGUCGGGUCGGUGCGGGUCGGAUCGGGUCAACCCGGAUGGGUUUAAAAAAUAUAUUUUUUUUUCUUUUUUUUUCCUUCCUUUGUUCUCUCUUUUUCUUCUUUUUUUCUUCCUUUUUUCCUUCCUCUUCGGGGCUGAACUCUAGCCCAACGCCGCCGCCGACGCCUCCUCCGUCCGGUGUUGCGGUGGCCGACACGACUCCCUUCUCCUCUCUUUCUCCCUUUCUUUCUUCUCUUCUUCCUUUUUGGUUGCUAUUUUUGCUUGCUGUUUUUCUUUCUUCUUUUUGUUUUUGCUUUGUGCUUUGCUUUGUAGGUGCAACGGUGGUUAGAAGAAUGCAAGGCACGGUGGUGGUGAAGGCGGUGGUCGGGAGAGCGCGACGGUGGUGCUAGAGGAGCCAUCAUGGCCUAGGGAGGCUCCUGGAGUAGCCCGGCUGGGGAGGGGUAGGCUCGGCAGUUGCUUGCGGCGAUUUGACAAGUCCAGAAAGACUAAAUUGCAUGGGAUGCAAAGUUUCUGGGGCAAAAGCGUAAUUUUAGCAAAAUAUGGGUUAAAAUGCAAUUUCUUGAGAGUUUAGGGGUCAAAGUGAAUUUUUGAGAAAGUCUAAGGGUCGAAAUGUAAUUUUAGAAAGUUUUGGGGUCAAAAUGUAAAUUUUAGAAAAGUUUGGGGUCAAAAUGUAAAUUUUGAAAA
Molecule: long non-coding RNA, 883 nt
Organism: Gossypium raimondii (Peruvian cotton)
Lineage: Eukaryota; Viridiplantae; Streptophyta; Magnoliopsida; Malvales; Malvaceae
Exons: 2
Source: RefSeq, a predicted model, not a curated record